GGACGGGUGAGUAACACGUAGGAAUCUGCCUUGAAGAGGGGGAUAACCCGAGGAAACUCGGGCUAAUACCGCAUGAUGUCGGAAGACCAAAAGCUGGGGCAACCUGGUGCUUUGAGAGGAGCCUGCGUCUGAUUAGCUAGUUGGUGGGGUAAAGGCCUACCAAGGCGAUGAUCGGUAGCUGGUCUGAGAGGAUGAUCAGCCACACUGGGACUGAGACACGGCCCAGACUCC
This 231-nucleotide ribosomal RNA is filed under the name uncultured bacterium. Its description in RNAcentral is "partial 16S ribosomal RNA". It matches the Rfam family "Bacterial small subunit ribosomal RNA", at positions 100 to 339 of the family's 1533-position model. The record is from RNAcentral.